RNAcentral lists this transfer RNA (60 nucleotides) under Alectorobius spheniscus. RNAcentral's name for it is "tRNA-Leu". Lineage: Eukaryota; Metazoa; Arthropoda; Arachnida; Ixodida; Argasidae. The record is from RNAcentral.
AUUAAAGUGGCAGAAAAAUGCGAAGGAUUUAAGCUCCUUAUAUGAUUUAUUCCUUUAACA